GAAACGAAAAAACCACCUGGGGAGGUGGUUUUUCGAAGGUUCAGUAAGUUGGGGAACUUCUGAACCGUGGUAACAGGGUGUACAAGACCGCUGCCACCAAAUUCG
Molecule: non-coding RNA, 105 nt
Filed under: Tatumella morbirosei
Lineage: Bacteria; Pseudomonadati; Pseudomonadota; Gammaproteobacteria; Enterobacterales; Erwiniaceae
Source: RNAcentral